CCCUUAGAUGUUCUGGGCCGCACGCGCGCUACACUGUUCGACGCAGCGAGUCUUAACCUUGACCGAAAGGUUUGGGUAAUCUUCAGCAAAGUCGAACGUGAUGGGGAUCGAUCAUUGCAAUUAUUGAUCGUGAACGAGGAAUUCCUAGUAAGUGCAAGUCAUCAGCUUGCGCUGAUUACGUCCCUGCCCUUUGUACACACCGCCCGUCGCUACUACCGAUUGAAUGGUUUAGUGAGAUCUCUGGAUUGACGCUGGCUAGGGGGCGACCCUUAGCCAGACUGUUGAGAAACUGCUCAAACUUGAUCAUUUAGAGGAAGUAAAAGUCGUAACA
Molecule: ribosomal RNA, 331 nt
Filed under: uncultured eukaryote
Lineage: Eukaryota
Description: partial 18S ribosomal RNA
Rfam family: Eukaryotic small subunit ribosomal RNA
Source: RNAcentral